This 77-nucleotide transfer RNA is filed under the name Synergistales bacterium. RNAcentral's name for it is "tRNA-Arg". It matches the Rfam family "tRNA". Rfam says of the family: Transfer RNA (tRNA) molecules are approximately 80 nucleotides in length. Their secondary structure includes four short double-helical elements and three loops (D, anti-codon, and T loops). Lineage: Bacteria; Thermotogati; Synergistota; Synergistia; Synergistales. The record is from RNAcentral. RNAcentral also lists the same sequence under 1 other name.
GGGCCUGUAGCUCAAGAGGACAGAGCGACGGUUUCCUAAACCGUAGGUUGGAGGUUCGACUCCUCUCAGGCCCGCCA